RNAcentral lists this ribosomal RNA (448 nucleotides) under Brevundimonas mediterranea. RNAcentral describes it as "bacterial SSU rRNA". It matches the Rfam family "Bacterial small subunit ribosomal RNA", at positions 997 to 1464 of the family's 1533-position model. The record is from RNAcentral. Lineage: Bacteria; Pseudomonadati; Pseudomonadota; Alphaproteobacteria; Caulobacterales; Caulobacteraceae.
UUCUGUGAAACGUUGCUUAUCCUUCGAAAAAUAAGACACAGGUGCUGCAUGGAUGUCGUCAGCUAGUGUCGUGAGAUGUUGGGCUAAGUCCCGCAACGAGCGCAACCCUCGCCAUUAGUUGCCCUCAUUUAGUUGGGAACUCUAAUGGGACUGCCGGUGCUAAGCCGGAGGAAGGUGGGGAUGACGUCAAGUCCUCAUGGCCCUUACAGGGUGGGCUACACACGUGCUACAAUGGCGACUACAGAGGGUUAAUCCUUAAAAGUCGUCUCAGUUCGGAUUGUCCUCUGCAACUCGAGGGCAUGAAGUUGGAAUCGCUAGUAAUCGCGGAUCAGCAUGCCGCGGUGAAUACGUUCCCGGGCCUUGUACACACCGCCCGUCACACCAUGGGAGUUGGUUCUACCCGAAGGCGCUGCGCUGACCGCAAGGAGGGCAAGGGCGACCCACGGGA